CUUGAUAUAGUUCUUCAUUUUCCUCCUUCAUGAGCCGCUCAAACUUAUCCACCUAUGGAUGCGGUUGAUUUCCUCAUGGAUGAGCAGUAUUCUCUUGCAAGUCUUGCUCCAUGCCACCUAAUUCACUAACGUUAGUAUCCAUGAACUGUGUAACACCUGUAAAUGCAUCAUGUAUCAUUCCUCUCAUAUCAUCACCCCUUUGAAUUGACUAACUGCGAUUAUUUGCUUCAGCAUUAUUUCAUCCCUUUAGAGACUCACGGUGACAAAACCAAGUAUCAUAGGAUUGUAGAAUACCGUUAACCAUAAGAUGAUCAUAUGCUGUAGCCUGAUUUACUUGAUGGAUAAGCACACACUCCAUACAAGGACAUGGAAUUUUUUCUCCAUCUUGUUUUUCGGAAAAGGCAUGAUUUACAAAAUCAUAAACUCCAUCCAAAUAUUCUUUACUAACUCUUUCACAAUAUAUCCAUCUUUUAUUUGCAUGAUUGUCCAUGACGUU
Molecule: long non-coding RNA, 496 nt
Filed under: Nicotiana benthamiana
Lineage: Eukaryota; Viridiplantae; Streptophyta; Magnoliopsida; Solanales; Solanaceae
Description: long non-coding RNA (NBEN_LNC026603)
Source: RNAcentral